AUACAGAGGGUGCGAGCGUUAAUCGGAAUUACUGGGCGUAAAGGGUACGUAGGCGGUUAAAUAAGUUGGAUGUGAAAGCCCCGGGCUCAACCUGGGAACUGCAUUCAAAACUGUUUGACUAGAGUGUAUGAGAGGUUGGCGGAAUUCCAGGUGUAGCAGUGAAAUGCGUAGAUAUCUGGAGGAACAUCAGUGGCGGAGGCGGCCAACUGGCAUAACACUGACGCUGAGGUACGAAAGCGUGGGGAGCGAACGGGAUUAGAUACCCCAGUAGUCC
RNAcentral lists this ribosomal RNA (274 nucleotides) under uncultured bacterium. RNAcentral describes it as "partial 16S ribosomal RNA". It matches the Rfam family "Bacterial small subunit ribosomal RNA", at positions 523 to 796 of the family's 1533-position model. The record is from RNAcentral.